GGCACUGGCGGCUAAUUCCUGCUCAAACACCUGAGAGCGAUGGGCGGACGGAUAAUGGACGGACAGGCAGAUAAACGUUGACACGACCUCGAAGCGAGAGGGAGAGUAGAGAGUUAGAGGUUCCAUAUUAGUAAGGAAAGCUCACGUUUUGGUCUCCACCAGCUCCUAACUGACAGCGAGGAUGGAGCAAGAAACAUAUCUCCAGACAGAGGCGAGGAUCAGGACCCUGCUGCUUCCUGUCGCCGAUGACAAGUCCCCGCGCUGCACGAAAGGAAGAAUGGCAGAUCAGAUUCGGUUGCCAGACCUGGUACUCGCCUACACCGCUCUGCCAAUGUGCCCCGGCCAUUCAUACAUCCAGAACAAACCGAGCCCGUCCACUGGGCUCCGCUACUGACAAACGGCUUGAUACUCCCUCACUGCGAGGGGCGGGCGGCCAUCGCUCAACUGCAUCCCGUCUGUUCUCCGUCCUGGCACCACAAUGGUCAGCAGAAGCAGCAGAAACCCUACAAACUUUCUAACGAAUUCUGGGAGCUCAUUUUAAAUUCGCCCUGCCAGACGCACGGUCUGGAUCUCCUCCAGUGGGAAGUGGAACCAGAUUAUCUGACAAUGGGCGGGGAGAAGCGACUUUUGUAAACAACCAAGAUGGCCGCCGCUGAUGAACGAGCAUUUGAGCAAAAGUACCAGACAUUUUCACAUUUCUCCCACACUGGUUCAUGGUGGAAUUAUCAUCACAUCUGGUGGACACGUUCACGUCGCUCAACAGACGUCACAUGAUCGGUUGCUCUCAUGGUUGAAGGUCUAUACAAUUGCGUGCGGAGGCAUUUUGCUCUGCGUCCGUUGGUAACGCCUCUUGGAAAUGGAGAGGUCCCAGACCAAUACACAUUUGAGUAUUAGUCUGGCUACACCAGGCUAUCACCUUAGUCCUUGAAUCAUUAAAGCAGGAACAUGAAUAAUUCUACAAUGGGGCACUUUGAGCCGUUUUGCUUAUUUGAUAAAUGUUCAUGUACUCGCAUGACUCUUGCACUUUUUGUGUAAUAUCUUCAUGGUGGAAUUCACUGAUUGUAAGUCGCUUUACUAAAUGAAUGUAAUGUACUAGAAGAGCACAAAACAAAUACAGUUCAAUACAAUUGAUAUUGGAGGGUCUCUGAUAGUGACUAGUACAUUUUAGUAACAGACAAACUCCACAGCUCUUUUGUUAUUCGUCCAUCUCCGUUAAAGAAACCUUCAGGACGUAGAUGUCCGGAGGCUCAUCCGCCACGUUCAUCGACCGUUGGAGGAUCUCAGCGUGCCGACCCAUUCGGAGGAGCAAAUAAAAUCCAUCACGAGGGGAAAUCUGCCGUUAAACACCGACUGUACGCGCGUCUGUGCUGCCGCCGCUCGCUCAUGAUGUGUUUCAUCAGUAAGUGUGAGUGAAGCGGACUCUUCGUAACGUUUGGGAGCCACAGGAAAUGAUGCGAGGCCUGACGCAAAUGGACGGGAAUCAAGCUGAGGCUUUAGAACACUGCUCCCCAACUUAUUUUUCUAAACAUUGCGCGCACACAAAAGAAAGGCAGGUAUUUUGUAAAAAGAUGACGUGAAAGGAUCCGUCCCCCGCCCACGCCUCGCUCCUACACUCCACCACAGUGCGAGUCGUCGCCCA
This is a long non-coding RNA of Scophthalmus maximus (turbot), 1639 nucleotides long. RefSeq lists it as uncharacterized. The record is from RefSeq and is a predicted model, not a curated record. NCBI's taxonomy places the organism in Eukaryota, Metazoa, Chordata, Actinopteri, Pleuronectiformes, Scophthalmidae. The transcript is spliced from 4 exons.